GACGUAGGAGGCGAGCGUUAUCCGGAUUCACUGGGCGUAAAGCGCAUGUAGGCGGAUGUCUAAGUCGUGUGUUAAAGCCCCUGGCUCAACUGGGGGAGGUCAUGCGAGACUGGAUGACUUGAGGGCAACAGAGGCACGUGGAACUCCCGGUGUAGCGGUGGAAUGCGUAGAGAUCGGGAAGAACACCCGUGGCGAAGGCGGCUCUCUGGAACGGUACUGACGCUGAGACGCGAAAGCGUGGGGAGCGAACAGG
Molecule: ribosomal RNA, 253 nt
Filed under: uncultured bacterium
Lineage: Bacteria
Description: partial 16S ribosomal RNA
Rfam family: Bacterial small subunit ribosomal RNA
Source: RNAcentral